CACCCCCCGGAUGAGCCACAGCUCCAUCCCAUGCCCCGCCCUGGCUGGGCAGCGCCUGCCCCUGCCCCACUCCCUCACCAUGGGGGGUGUUUAUCUGCCCCCCCCCCACACUCCUUCCCUCCCCCCGCCCCUUCCACAACAACAGACUAACCAGCUGGACGCAGCUGUAUCAGAAAUAGGAUUGGUAUCAGCCAAUCUCCUGCCUUAAAAAUUGACUAUCAUUAUCAACCCCCAAAAAUCACUAUCACUGCACCCCUAUUUGACAUCUCAUGGAAGUAAGCAUUAGACUUGCUAAUAAGCUUAUGCAGACCACCUGCUGUUCUACUUAAUUGCAGUGGUGUUUGAAGGUAUUUGUGAAAAUCAGUUUUAUUUAGGCUGCUGAAGAUGGAGUUGGCAUCCUGUCGGCUCUUGGAUCUGAAAAUGUUUAUUAUAGAUCAAGGGUUUCUUAGGAAGAAUUCUGUUUUAAUAAGGACAGUUCUCAGUGUUCCAGCAGCAGUACAUUUCCCAGCCAUGUCUUAGGAAGGAGGUAUUCAACCUUUGGCCCACCGACCAAAUCCAGCUUGUGAGGUCAUCAUCUGGCCCAGGGGGUCCCCACAGGUCUGAAAAUAUAGUGAUGGGAGAGCAGUGGCAGCAUUACUUGCAGCUCCCCUGCUGCCAAAUUUUUAGACAUGGAAGCACCAUGGGUUGGAUGACAUGGCCCUGUGCACUAGGGCCAAUCCAGCAUGCACAGCUGGGCCAAGCACAUGGCGCUGGACACAUGGAGUGACCCUGCAAGCCAGCUCCAGCCUGUAGACAGCCCCGUACCAUUCAUUCAGCCCACAGGACCAGCCAGUUAAGCACCACUGUCACAAUCAGUACUCUGCAUCCUGUGUGAUGUCAGUUUAUCAGAACUUCAUUGCAAAUUUUUGUAGCAUGUACAGAAGUGAUUUCUUACAUCUCUUAUAGAUUUUUUUUAAUAUAUCUUCCCAAAAAUACAGCUAGGAGACUUCUUUGGUUAUUACCAAUCAGACGCCAAGCUUCAGAAGUAUUUUAAUUGAGCGGGAGAGAGUGGGGGGCAUAUUUUUUUUCAGAGGACAAUUUGUCCAUCUGUAUUUAGUUAAAAAAGUAUUCAAUCAUUUUCCUAUACCUGCUGAAACAGUGAAAAUAAUCAUAAACAAAAAAACUUUAUAAAUGAUCUGGGUAUAGCAUCUUUUUCAAGCAUCUAUGAGCUAUGAAACAGGGUUGUAAGAGUGAAUAGGAUUGUUAUCCCAAACACAAACAUGGAAAUAUGACAAAUUAAAAGUAAAAUUGGAAGCUGUCUUUCUGAGAGAUACAAAUUAUAAUUUGAAUAUGAACUUGCCCUGAGGUGCAGGUCCUGUUUGUUUUUUUCCAUAACUCUUCCAGUUAUGAAUCAAAAUGGUAAACUGUAUUUCCUCAAUUUUAUCUGCCUGCCUGUCUGAGCUGUGCGGAAGCCCAGUGCUUCCCUCCACGGCUGGGGAGGGGGCGAGUGCUUCCCUCUGCAGCUGUGGCAACCCCCAGGACCGCUGGGAUUGGGAGCCAGCAAAUGGGUGCCACUCGGCCUGCUGGCAGCUCAGUCCCUCCCCCAGCACCGAAGAGGCAGGUAAGGAUCAGGCUCCCCCUUGUGUACAUGCCACGAGGGUUUAGCUCAAUUUAAUUCUUCCUAAAUUGAAGCAGGGUUUUUAAAAACCCACCAUUUCAAUUUAGGGAGAACUAAGCCGAAUUAAACCCCUGUGGUGUGUACAAGCAGCCUGAGAUUCGAAGUAUGGUUACGUUACAUUUUAAUGACUCUUCCUAAAAGAGACUGACAUUGAGCAAACCUAUUUUCAGUGACUUCCUAGAGAACUGCUAGCUUCUUCAUCUCUUUUUGCAACAUGGCUUCCUUCCCUUCCCCCAUCCCCUCUUCUCAGUUCCUGUGGACGUGCCCUCGAUCAGGUAGCUUUCCUACCAUGUUUUGCCUUAUCCCCCUACAAGACUCUUGAUCCCAUUACUUCAUCUCCCAGUUCCUGGGUCCUAAAUCAAAGGAGAUUGGUAGCUGCUUGCCAGGAGAUAUUAGAGGACAAGCAGAGAAUUUUGUUUGGUUUUUAAGGGUUUGGUUCUAAAGAUGCAAUCACUGAUGACUGCAUUUGUGGAUGUACUGGAAAGCCUGGGGAUCCAAUAAAGAGAAGCGAUUGAGGAAGAUAUUAGAGGGAUCUAAAUUUUAGCUACUGACCUCUGUAGUGCUGUGGUAUGUGACAGCAUUCCUUAGCACAAAUAAUUCCACCCACACGCAAUCCUUUUAGCUAAAUCUAGGAAGCUGAAGAAAAAUGCAAGUUCCCCUUGGUGAGGCAGGCCAAGGAGGGACAGAUGAAACCACAGGGAGGUUUGAAGAGGAACCCUGGUUAGGAAGCAAAAUUAGGAGUUGCUUGGGCAGCAGUGGUGUGGGACUCCCCAAACAGCUCCUUGCCAGAUGGGCUCCCAUUUCCAAGCCUGGCCUCGUGGCACGUGGGGAUGCUGCAAGACCUCUCCCAGUGACCAACUACCAACACUGCCAAGGGACACCAGGAAGCUUGGGAAGAGACCUAGCUACCUGCUGCCAGGCCCAUCAUGUACGAGCCAGUAAGAGGUUGUGAGUCAGGCAGCUCUUGUUAUGUGCGUAAGCUUGAGUAGUAGCCACGGCUGCUGACACUGUAAAGAUGGAGGUGGGAUUGUGGGGGGGAGGAUCAUUUUUGGUAUGGUUUGAAGCCAACAUCCUGCAGCAGGAAGUGCAGGCUCCUCUCAAGGAUAUGUCUCACUCUUGGGGUGGGGUGGGUGGCAUCUAUGCCUUUCUGUCUUUAGUCUUUGAAAUACUGGGCAGCUGACAUUCACUGUAUGGACUGUGGCAGAACUGUCCCCUCUGUCCAGGUUAGGUCCCCACUGUCCAUGAUGGGAUUCUUGUGUACUCUCCAGCCCCUGGCAGUGGGUGCUGUUGGGGUGGGAUGUGAGAUACACUGGACUAUAUAGCGAAGGGGCUGCAGUGGGGUAGGGGAUAAGCCUGGCUAAAUUGGUAGGGUGGGGCAGGAAGUGAGCUCAUAGAGAUGCAUUGGCAGGCAUUGGGCAGAGGGAUAGUGACCUCACUAAGGGCUGACAUCAGCCUGUAGGGGCAAGCUCCAGCACCCCAGGCCAGAGGCUCAGACCUGAACAGACCUUCAUGGUUCCGGGUCCCUGUGGCUGAGGCUGAUACAGGUGAGAGAGAAUCUGAUUCCUAUUUGUGGUCCCAGGGCCACCUCUGAUCUGUCCAUCCCUCCUUGCCUGCCCCAUAGGUGCCACCGCCAGAAACUCUUGGGUUUCGGGCAAGUGUUGCAGUUGGGCUCCUCUCUGCCUGGCCCCCAUCACCCUUCCUCAUGGUUAAUGAGUUCAGGGUUGUGGACCUUCUCAAUUACAGUCUGUAAUUCACACCUGGCUCACAGAGCUCUAGCAUACAACACCACAGUAGUAACUUUCAUGUAAAAAAGCCAGUUGUGAGCUCUGCAAAAUCUCAGCCAGUUCAGCCCCCCUGAAAUGUUUGGGCUCAAGACAAAAUACCCAGUUGUACCCCUUUGGGGGGUACUCUGAUACCCACAUCCCCUUGCAGCUCUUUCUGUCUGCCAAGCUGUCUGUCACUCUGGCUUGGGUGCUUCUGCACUGAAAACAAAGGUGCUGCUCCAGGUCUCAGCCACUGGGGAUCAAGCACAGACUGCUGCAGACCCAACAAGAGCUCCUCCCACCACUCUUCUGAUUCCACAGGGGCCUUUCCUGCCUCUUCCUCCCACCAUUUCCCUGUUUCUACAGGGCAGCUGAGCUGUGCCUGAAGGGAGCCAGCAAAGGACUGGGAUUUUCAUCAGGUUCCUUCCAGGGAGGGCUCAGGUGGGUGGCAGAGAUGCAGGGUCAGGAAGGGGAAGGUGAGGCAGGAGGAGAGGUUUGAGGAAGAUAAGAAUGGGGCUAAGGACAUCGUGUUUCCAUGCCUGAUAAAGGCAGUGCAAGCAAGAAGCAAGGGUGAAUUUGUGGGUUGUCAUUUAUUGGACCAGGUGUAAAAUUUGGGGGAGACAUUAGCCAAGGGCACUGAAGAGGGGUACCUGGUGCUCAGAAACUUCGCUAAUUGGGCAAAAAGAUUGUGGCUGAGAGAAAAACACAACAGAAAAAGUAGAAAUUUGAAGUGGGGAAUUCUUUCCCAACUACACAGUUGAUCCAAGAGAAGAUGUCACUAAAAUAAUCUCAAGUCUUGAUUAUGGCUUGGACCAUUAUGACUACAAUACCCAAACCCUACUGCAAGGAAGGCUAUGGCUUUUAUUCAAAUGAGAUAGACACAGACAAUCAGGGGGCAAAGCAUUUUAUGCAUGGUUGUUUUUGUAGCAAAGCCCAGGACAUGACCCCCAGGCCUGCAAGUAGUUUACACCCAACAUUUAGGUCUAUUUUAAAAUGUACUGUUCAUUGUGUAAGGUAAUCAGCAGCCUAGAUCUGUGCCAGUGGCUGUUUGUAGGAACAAACCAGAUGCAAGAGGAUAAUUUCAGGAUGCGGAAUUGUACCUGCAAGAAGAGUGAGCCAUGGCUUGGCUGAGAAACUGAACCCCCAAAUCCAUGGCUCACAAAAAGUGGAGCUAACAGGACUCUGUGGCAUAGGUGUCAAGACACGGUGCUUUGCAGUCGGUGAUUCUGAGCAGGUUGCUGGGUGCAGGAAGAGACAGUCUGUUGAAUGCUGUUGUGUUGCUCUCAUCACAGCCCAUAGCCAGCAGUCUUUCUGCUGACAAGUAAAACCGGAGAGGGGUGGGAGCUGAAUAAGUUGGGAAAAUAAUAGUGUGGGUGCUACAUAGAGAGGGAUUUAGCUCAAUGUGAAUAAAGGGGAGUGGUAUCUGACAGGAAAGAAGGAAGCAGCAGAAAGAUUGUCAUACCUGUCUUACAUAGGAAAACACACAAUUUAUUUCUUUCGGGUAAAACAAGACACAUUUGUGAUCCUUAGGUAUUAAAGAAAAAAAGAUACAUCACUUUGGAUGAAAAUGGGAGAAGAUACUCCCAAGGAAUCAAAGAAUGACGGAGGAAAAGCAGGAGGGAAGAAAACUAAGAAGAGAUUCGUGCUGCCAUACACCAGGCGUGGGAUACAGAAGAUUCUUUUGACAUGUCUGAGGUGGAAUCAGCCUCAGAAGAUGGUGAAGUGAAAGAUCCCUUCUUACCAGUGGAAGCAGGAAUUGAUAUAGGUAUGUAUGGGGAAGUGACACCAUGGGUAAAUUAGGUGCUGUACCUAUGGUCACAAAGCAAAUCUGUGGCCAAGCCCGGGACUGACACUAGGCCUCCUGAAUCUCCAUUCAUUGACCUACCCAGAGACCAUCAUUGCUGCUCUGUCUAACACUUUACAUGCAGCAUUCCAGUAGAGAGAGAGUUUCUUGUCUUCAAGCACUAAAUUGUACAGAGCUGAGUCACAGUAGAAGAUCCAGCCACGUUGGAUAUCAGUACCCCACCUUAACACACACCUACAUUUUGAGUACCUGCAAUGCCUGAGUGGUUACACGACUGGACUGGAAAUCCAAAUGCAUUUCCCUGUACAGAAUCAAAUCCUGUCCACAGGAGGGCCUUGUCUCUUGAGGAAGGUAGGACUAAAUGACCUUUUGAGACCGUUGAUUUAUUCUUCUGUAUUAUAAGACAUUUCUCUUUUCUCCACAGCAGCAGCUGCCAGUGUUCCAAGAAAAUGAUCUUCAUUUUUUAAGAAGAUACCACACGCUCUGUCCAGAGCAUUCUCUUUUCUCUCAGCUUGCCUAACUUGCCACAGAGAGUUUCGGAAAGUCGCGCCAGAGACGAUACACAUGUGCUAAAUUGGUUUAGGAAAAAAUAGGAAAAAUAUAAAUAGUUUUAGGAAAACA
This is a long non-coding RNA of Alligator mississippiensis (American alligator), 5845 nucleotides long. RefSeq lists it as uncharacterized. The transcript is spliced from 3 exons. NCBI's taxonomy places the organism in Eukaryota, Metazoa, Chordata, Crocodylia, Alligatoridae. The record is from RefSeq and is a predicted model, not a curated record.